GUCUACGGCCAUGCCACCCUGAACACGCCCGAUCUCGUCUGAUCUCAGAAGCUAAGCAGGGUCGGGCCUGGUUAGUACUUGAAUGGGAAAUCACGUAGGAAUAUCAGGCUUUAAAAAAA
RNAcentral lists this ribosomal RNA (119 nucleotides) under Pteropus alecto (black flying fox). The record is from RNAcentral. Lineage: Eukaryota; Metazoa; Chordata; Mammalia; Chiroptera; Pteropodidae.